UGUAUGGUUUAUAGGGUUUGGUUCACGAACUCGGUUCAUGGUUAUGAUUCAUAGUUUAUGAACUUGGUUUAUGGUUUAUGGUUUAUGGUUUAUGGUUUAUGGUUCAUGAAUUUAGGUUUUGGCUCAUGAGAUGGGGUAUAUGGGAUUUAGUUCAUGAACUUGGAUAUGGUUCAUGAAUUAGGUAUGUGAACUUGGUUUAUGGUUCAUGAACUUGAUUCAUUUGGUUCAUAAACGUAGUUUAUGAUUAAUGGACUUGGUUCAUGAACUUAGAUAUGAAUCCAAGUUGGAAGUCGUGUUUGGGUUCUAUUUGUGGUCUGGAUUGGAUUUGAGUUUGGAAUUUUAUUUGUGGACUGUAUUUGGUUUUGGGUUUGGAUUUGAUUUGGUUUGGAUUUUAUUUGGGUUUUGGUUUCGUUGGGUUUGGUUGUGAUUUGGUUUGGUUUGGGUUCUUAUGUGAACUUGAUUUGGUUUGGGUUCUUAUGUGAACUUGAUUCGGUUUGGGUUUGGAUUUGAUUUGGAUUGGGUUCGGUUUGGGUUUGUAGGUGGACUUGGUUUGGUUUGGGUUCUUAUGUGAACUUGAUUUGGUUUAGUUUGGAUGUGGAUUUGAUUUCGGUUUGGGUUUGGAUUUAAUUUGGGUUGGGUUCGGUUUGGGUUUGUAUGUUGACUUGGUUUGAUUUCGGUUCUUAUGUGAACUUGGUUUGAUUUUCAAUUCUAUUUCGGGUUCAAGGCAAUCCUCUUUUGAUUUUUGCAACUUGAUUCGGAUCUAAAGAAAUCCCUUUUUGAUUUUGGUUUGAUUUGGGGUCCGAAGAAAUCCUCUUUUGAUCUCG
RNAcentral lists this long non-coding RNA (824 nucleotides) under Ananas comosus (pineapple). RNAcentral's name for it is "long non-coding RNA (ACOM_LNC031440)". The record is from RNAcentral. Lineage: Eukaryota; Viridiplantae; Streptophyta; Magnoliopsida; Poales; Bromeliaceae.